This 421-nucleotide non-coding RNA is filed under the name Amazona aestiva (blue-fronted amazon). RNAcentral's name for it is "Eukaryotic large subunit ribosomal RNA". It matches the Rfam family "Eukaryotic large subunit ribosomal RNA", at positions 3006 to 3399 of the family's 3401-position model. Lineage: Eukaryota; Metazoa; Chordata; Aves; Psittaciformes; Psittacidae. The record is from Rfam by way of RNAcentral.
UGGUUUUGUAAUAGCAAUCCUNCUCAGUACUAGAGGAACUGCAGNUUCAGACCCCCAAUGUGUCUGCUUGAUUUAGGAGUCCCUGGCAUGAGGCUACCAUCUAUGGGCUUUGGCUGAAACUGUAAGUCAGAAUACCAUCUGGAUGUUGCAGUACCACAGUGCUGCCUCUGCCUCAGUGGGCUUCUGAUAGCCAGCUACCUGCCCUGCAGGAGGCAAACCAUGUGCAGAGCACCUCUGANGAUUCAGACCGAAGGGGUGGGCAGAUGCAUCACCACAUCUCCACUGUUGCAUAGCACAUAAUCAUGAGCCACUUGGUCCUAAAUCAUUCNUAGAUGACCUGAUUCUGGGUCAAGGUUUUGUAUGUAGCAGAGCAGCUUCCUUGCUGUGACCUAUUGCGAAUCAGCCCUUGACACAACCUUUU